Molecule: ribosomal RNA, 253 nt
Filed under: uncultured bacterium
Lineage: Bacteria
Description: partial 16S ribosomal RNA
Rfam family: Bacterial small subunit ribosomal RNA
Source: RNAcentral
UACGAAGGGGGCUAGCGUUGCUCGGAAUCACUGGGCGUAAAGCGCACGUAGGCGGCUUUCUAAGUCAGGGGUGAAAUCCUGGAGCUCAACUCCAGAACUGCCUUUGAUACUGGAGAGCUUGAGUCCGGAAGAGGUGAGUGGAACUCCGAGUGUAGAGGUGAAAUUCGUAGAUAUUCGGAAGAACACCAGUGGCGAAGGCGGCUCACUGGUCCGGUACUGACGCUGAUGUGCAAAAGCGUGGGGAGCAAACAGG